RNAcentral lists this ribosomal RNA (277 nucleotides) under uncultured Staphylococcus sp. RNAcentral's name for it is "partial 16S ribosomal RNA". It matches the Rfam family "Bacterial small subunit ribosomal RNA", at positions 86 to 355 of the family's 1533-position model. The record is from RNAcentral. Lineage: Bacteria; Bacillati; Bacillota; Bacilli; Caryophanales; Staphylococcaceae.
CUGAUGUUAGCGGCGGACGGGUGAGUAACACGUGGGUAACCUACCUAUAAGACUGGGAUAACUCCGGGAAACCGGGGCUAAUACCGGAUAAUAUUUUGAACCGCAUGGUUCGAUAGUGAAAGACGGUUUCGGCUGUCACUUAUAGAUGGACCCGCGCCGUAUUAGCUAGUUGGUAAGGUAACGGCUUACCAAGGCGACGAUACGUAGCCGACCUGAGAGGGUGAUCGGCCACACUGGAACUGAGACACGGUCCAGACUCCUACGGGAGGCAGCAGUC